This 303-nucleotide ribosomal RNA is filed under the name Salmonella enterica subsp. enterica serovar Agona. Its description in RNAcentral is "partial 23S ribosomal RNA". It matches the Rfam family "Eukaryotic large subunit ribosomal RNA", at positions 116 to 408 of the family's 3401-position model. The record is from RNAcentral. Lineage: Bacteria; Pseudomonadati; Pseudomonadota; Gammaproteobacteria; Enterobacterales; Enterobacteriaceae.
GAAUUCCGCGCUCUGUGCGGGCGUCGGAAAAUGUGGCGUUUAGGAGGGAGCGUGCCGGGAGUCUGACCUUGCAGCAAGUCCCCCUGACCGGGGCGAUUUCCCAGAGCGGGUGCGAGGCCCAUAGCUGCUCGGUCUCUCUCGGAUGCGACCUCUUGGGAGUCGGGUUGCUUGGGAGUGCAACCCUAAUUGGGUGGUAAACUCCACCUAAGACUAAAUACGGCCGUGAGACCGAUAGCAAACAAGUACCGUGAGGGAAAGUUGCAAAGAACUUUGAAGAGAGAGUUCAAGAGUACGUGAAACUGC